AGAUGGCGGCGUGCUAUACAUGCAGUCGAACGAACUGCUGGUAUUGAUUGGUGCUUGCAUCAUGAUUUACAUUUGAGUGAGUGGCGAACUGGUGAGUAACACGUGGGAAACCUGCCCAGAAGCGGGGGAUAACACCUGGAAACAGAUGCUAAUACCGCAUAACAACUUGGACCGCAUGGUCCGAGUUUGAAAGAUGGCUUCGGCUAUCACUUUUGGAUGGUCCCGCGGCGUAUUAGCUAGAUGGUGGGGUAACGGCUCACCAUGGCAAUGAUACGUAGCCGACCUGAGAGGGUAAUCGGCCACAUUGGGACUGAGACACGGCCCAAACUCCUACGGGAGGCAGCAGUAGGGAAUCUUCCACAAUGGACGAAAGUCUGAUGGAGCAACGCCGCGUGAGUGAAGAAGGGUUUCGGCUCGUAAAACUCUGUUGUUAAAGAAGAACAUAUCUGAGAGUAACUGUUCAGGUAUUGACGGUAUUUAACCAGAAAGCCACGGCUAACUACGUGCCAGCAGCCGCGGUAAUACGUAGGUGGCAAGCGUUGUCCGGAUUUAUUGGGCGUAAAGCGAGCGCAGGCGGUUUUUUAAGUCUGAUGUGAAAGCCUUCGGCUCAACCGAAGAAGUGCAUCGGAAACUGGGAAACUUGAGUGCAGAAGAGGACAGUGGAACUCCAUGUGUAGCGGUGAAAUGCGUAGAUAUAUGGAAGAACACCAGUGGCGAAGGCGGCUGUCUGGUCUGUAACUGACGCUGAGGCUCGAAAGUAUGGGUAGCAAACAGGAUUAGAUACCCUGGUAGUCCAUACCGUAAACGAUGAAUGCUAAGUGUUGGAGGGUUUCCGCCCUUCAGUGCUGCAGCUAACGCAUUAAGCAUUCCGCCUGGGGAGUACGGCCGCAAGGCUGAAACUCAAAGGAAUUGACGGGGGCCCGCACAAGCGGUGGAGCAUGUGGUUUAAUUCGAAGCUACGCGAAGAACCUUACCAGGUCUUGACAUACUAUGCAAAUCUAAGAGAUUAGACGUUCCCUUCGGGGACAUGGAUACAGGUGGUGCAUGGUUGUCGUCAGCUCGUGUCGUGAGAUGUUGGGUUAAGUCCCGCAACGAGCGCAACCCUUAUUAUCAGUUGCCAGCAUUAAGUUGGGCACUCUGGUGAGACUGCCGGUGACAAACCGGAGGAAAGGGGGGGAUGACGUCAAAUCUCCUGGCCCCUUUUGACCGGGGGUAAACCCGGGUUAAAAUGGGAGGGGCAACCAAAUUGU
This 1250-nucleotide ribosomal RNA is filed under the name Lactiplantibacillus plantarum. RNAcentral's name for it is "bacterial SSU rRNA". It matches the Rfam family "Bacterial small subunit ribosomal RNA", at positions 34 to 1251 of the family's 1533-position model. Lineage: Bacteria; Bacillati; Bacillota; Bacilli; Lactobacillales; Lactobacillaceae. The record is from RNAcentral.